AGUGAACGCUGGCGGCAGGCCUAACACAUGCAAGUCGAACGGCAGCACAUUAAUAGCUUGCUCGUACGGGUGGCGAGUGGCAGACGGGUGAGGUAGACAGCGGAAUCUACUUUUUCGUGGGGGAUAACGAAGGGAAACUUACGCUAAUACAGCAUACGACCUACGGGUGAAAGCAGGGGCUCUUCGAGCCUUGGGCGAUAGGAGGAGCCGGUGUCGGAUUAGCUAGUUGUCGGUGUAAUGGCCUACCAAGGCGACGAUCAGUGGCUGGUCGGAGAGGAGGACCGGCCACGCUGGGACUGGGAGACGGCCCGGGCUACUAUGGGAGGCAGGAGUGGGGAAUUUUCCGCAAUGGGCGAAAGGGUGAAGGAGCAAUGCGGGGUGGAAGUAGAUUUUCUACGGGACGAAAACUUCUUUUCCCAGAGCAGAAGUUAUGACGGGAUCCGAAGAAUAAGCAACGGCUAACUCUGUG
RNAcentral lists this ribosomal RNA (469 nucleotides) under uncultured bacterium. RNAcentral describes it as "partial 16S ribosomal RNA". It matches the Rfam family "Bacterial small subunit ribosomal RNA", at positions 30 to 507 of the family's 1533-position model. The record is from RNAcentral.